Long non-coding RNA from Passer montanus (Eurasian tree sparrow), 1383 nucleotides. RefSeq lists it as uncharacterized. Lineage: Eukaryota; Metazoa; Chordata; Aves; Passeriformes; Passeridae. The record is from RefSeq and is a predicted model, not a curated record. The transcript is spliced from 3 exons.
CCCAAACUCCCUCGCUUGACACACAAAUUGUUUACGAUUCAUUAAAAAGCAAAAUUGCAUAUCCCAGUGCUGGCAGCUGAGUCCAUAUGGGUGCAAGGGGUAUUCACUCAUCUCUUUGUAUGCUGGCAGUACCAAACCGAAGUUUAGCACUGUGCAGCUGAGAUUUUGUGCAGCCAGACGAUGCAUGAGAUGCUGAGUCCUCAGGAAAAGGGACCAAUGACUAAUAAAUCAGGUGUUUCUUCCUUCACCUACUGGAAUCAAUAAGAAGCAGGAGAAAGAAGUUCUUCUUUGCAUGAGAUAACACAGACAAACAGCACCAUGUAGUGGGAAUCCACAGGGAAUCAGCUCAGCUCCCCAGUACACCGAACAAGCUGAUUUCUCCAGCCCAAACUCUGACAUAUUCAUAAUGAAUCCAGAAAGAAUCAGAGACUGAUUCACAGCAUAGCUACAACUCCAUUACAACAGAAAAACCCCAGCCUGCAGCUCCAGUUAUCCUUUGGCCAAAGGAACAGACAACUGCUAUUCAAGCACCUCACCUUGAGAAAACUCUUAGUAAAAUCACAUUUUUCUACCUCUGGGGAAAAAGCAGCAAUUGGCAGCUGCCUCUGGAGGGAAAUCAAGCAGAGGAUCUGCUCCAAGAUGAUACUUUCUGAUCCCACCUCUGAUCAGUAAGGCAGCCACAGCAAAGCCACUGCCUCCUACUUCCUCCUCUCCCCCUCCAAAUUCCCCGGGCAGCCAAACUGUGGAUGUGUAAUGGCUCAGGAGCAGCAGCCUGGUCAGUAGGUGAGAGAUAUUACUCCCACUACAUACAGAAAGUACAGUCACGGGAAGACACAUGGUUUGGGAUAAGGAGCUGCUAUGAAAUGCACUCUGGGCAACGGGGCAUGGAUCUUUUCCUCUCUCCAAGUGUCCACCAACUUUGUGUCCAAAACUUUGCUGUUUGAGAAGAUAUGCAAUGCAGAAUGCAUGUCAUUAAUUGUGUCCAGCAAUAAACAAAAUAUUUAGUGCAUUUUUAAUGCUGUAAAACCUUUUAAAAUACUUUUAAACCUUCCACUGUGGGACAGAAUUAAAAUUGUUUUGCUAUCUGCAACAGGCCUGGCCUCCAAUCACAUAAUUAAGCAGUCACAAAUUGCAAAAUUGGUUUGUUUGGUUCCCACACCACACAAAUACUGAUAAAAGCUUUUUUUGUUUGUCAGUUAGUGCACUGUAACUUACAUGUUAUGGGAAAACAGUUUGGCAAAUUUGGAGCUUGAAGAGCACAUCACAUCUCCCCAUGUUUUCUCCACAAUGGAUACUUUACUCACUGUGUUCUGUCUGGUUUCAGUGGCUGCAUGCACUCAGAUAAUGUAGCAGCUACAACUCGAAAUAAAAGAUUUAAGGCUU